AGAGUUUGAUCAUGGCUCAGAUUGAACGCUGGCGGCAGGCCUAACACAUGCAAGUCGAGCGGAAACGAGUUAUCUGAACCUUCGGGGAACGAUAACGGCGUCGAGCGGCGGACGGGUGAGUAAUGCCUAGGAAAUUGCCCUGAUGUGGGGGAUAACCAUUGGAAACGAUGGCUAAUACCGCAUAAUGCCUACGGGCCAAAGAGGGGGACCUUCGGGCCUCUCGCGUCAGGAUAUGCCUAGGUGGGAUUAGCUAGUUGGUGAGGUAAUGGCUCACCAAGGCGACGAUCCCUAGCUGGUCUGAGAGGAUGAUCAGCCACACUGGAACUGAGACACGGUCCAGACUCCUACGGGAGGCAGCAGUGGGGAAUAUUGCACAAUGGGCGCAAGCCUGAUGCAGCCAUGCCGCGUGUGUGAAGAAGGCCUUCGGGUUGUAAAGCACUUUCAGUCGUGAGGAAGGUAGUGUAGUUAAUAGCUGCAUUAUUUGACGUUAGCGACAGAAGAAGCACCGGCUAACUCCGUGCCAGCAGCCGCGGUAAUACGGAGGGUGCGAGCGUUAAUCGGAAUUACUGGGCGUAAAGCGCAUGCAGGUGGUUUGUUAAGUCAGAUGUGAAAGCCCGGGGCUCAACCUCGGAAUUGCAUUUGAAACUGGCAGACUAGAGUACUGUAGAGGGGGGUAGAAUUUCAGGUGUAGCGGUGAAAUGCGUAGAGAUCUGAAGGAAUACCGGUGGCGAAGGCGGCCCCCUGGACAGAUACUGACACUCAGAUGCGAAAGCGUGGGGAGCAAACAGGAUUAGAUACCCUGGUAGUCCACGCCGUAAACGAUGUCUACUUGGAGGUUGUGGCCUUGAGCCGUGGCUUUCGGAGCUAACGCGUUAAGUAGACCGCCUGGGGAGUACGGUCGCAAGAUUAAAACUCAAAUGAAUUGACGGGGGCCCGCACAAGCGGUGGAGCAUGUGGUUUAAUUCGAUGCAACGCGAAGAACCUUACCUACUCUUGACAUCCAGAGAACUU
Molecule: ribosomal RNA, 1011 nt
Filed under: Vibrio rotiferianus CAIM 577 = LMG 21460
Lineage: Bacteria; Pseudomonadati; Pseudomonadota; Gammaproteobacteria; Vibrionales; Vibrionaceae
Description: bacterial SSU rRNA
Rfam family: Bacterial small subunit ribosomal RNA
Source: RNAcentral